GAAACCGUUCAGGGGUAAACCUGAGAAACCCAAAAGAUCGAACGAGGAGAUUCAUCGUCAACGGCGCUGGCUCCCGUUGGUGCGCGAUGCCCCGAACGGCCCUCUGUGGUUCGUUCCGUAGCGAGGGCACACCACCUGCGGCUUGAAUGUUCCGGUUCCGUAGUCGUGCACUUCUCCCCUAGUAGAACGUCGCGACCCGUUGUGUGUCGGUCUACGGCCCGAGAGGGCGCCUGUCGCGUCGCGAACGCGCGUACGCGGCAGACCCUCGGUCGCCCGGCCGGCUGCACGACGGUACUCGCACGGUAUCGGGCCGCAACCAAUCCAUUCUCGAAUGUGUGUGCGUCAGGCCCGCCGCAAGCUAGAUCAGUAUCCCGGAGGUACGGACCCGGUGCCGUCCCCGUCCCUGAUCAGCUGUUAGCAGGCGGUGUCCUCGGACUGGCCAAGCUUUGAAUUACCGGUCGGCGACGCUACUGCUUUGGGUACUCUCAGGACCCGUCUUGAAACACGGACCAAGGAGUCUAACAUGUGCGCGAGUCAUUGGGAUGCAUAAACCUAAAGGCGAAAUGAAAGUGAAAGUCGGCCUUCGCGUCGACCGAGGGAGGAUGGGCCGCGUUAUGAUGCGGCCCCGCACUCCCGGGGCGUCUCGUUCUCUCUCGUUCUUCUUCGCGCGAGAAGAGGCGCACCCAGAGCGUACACGUUGGGACCCGAAAGAUGGUGAACUAUGCCUGGUCAGGACGAAGUCAGGGGAAACCCUGAUGGAGGUCCGUAGCGAUUCUGACGUGCAAAUCGAUCGUCGGAACUGGGUAUAGGGGCGAAAGACUAAUCGAACCAUCUAGUAGCUGGUUCCCUCCGAAGUUUCCCUCAGGAUAGCUGGCACUCGCUCGAACGUUGUGCGAGUCUCAUCUGGUAAAGCGAAUGAUUAGAGGCCUUGGGGCCGAAACGACCUCAACCUAUUCUCAAACUUUAAAUGGGUGAGAUCUCUGGCUUGCUUGAAGCAUGAAGCCACGAGAUUUUGGAUCAGAGUGCCAAGUGGGCCAAUUUUGGUAAGCAGAACUGGCGCUGUGGGAUGAACCAAACGCAGAGUUAAGGCGCCUAAGUCGACGCUUAUGGGAUACCAUGAAAGGCGUUGGUUGCUUAAGACAGCAGGACGGUGGCCAUGGAAGUCGGAA
This 1169-nucleotide ribosomal RNA is filed under the name Ctenoplectra albolimbata. RNAcentral describes it as "eukaryotic LSU rRNA". It matches the Rfam family "Eukaryotic large subunit ribosomal RNA", at positions 401 to 1266 of the family's 3401-position model. Lineage: Eukaryota; Metazoa; Arthropoda; Insecta; Hymenoptera; Apidae. The record is from RNAcentral.